GGGUGACACAGUGAGAGAGUGAGGAAGAGGGUGACACAGUGACAGAGUGAGGGAGGGGGUGACUAGUGACAGAGUGAAGGAGGUGGUGACUGUCACUAGUCACCCCAUCCCUUCGUCUGUCUCUAAUCACCACCUCCCUCACUCUGUCACUUGUCACCCCUUCCCUCCCUCACUCUGUCACUAGUCACCCCCUCCCUCUCUCUGUCACUAGUCACACCCUCCCUCACUCUGUCACUAAUCACACCCUCCCUCACUCUGUCACUAGUCACACC
Molecule: non-coding RNA, 272 nt
Organism: Pelobates cultripes (western spadefoot toad)
Lineage: Eukaryota; Metazoa; Chordata; Amphibia; Anura; Pelobatidae
Source: the annotation of a GenBank genome assembly